Molecule: long non-coding RNA, 2092 nt
Filed under: Cinara cedri
Lineage: Eukaryota; Metazoa; Arthropoda; Insecta; Hemiptera; Aphididae
Source: RNAcentral
AAUUAAUCGAUAUUAAUACGUAUUAUUAUGGUAAUGUUUAGCCAUCACGGUGCACGAUUCAUAAUAAUAAUAAUAACUAAAUAUAUUCCUGCGCUAAAUUUAUUAUAAUUUAUCUAUUCUCCAAUCUUAUUGAGUUAUAUUGCAUUUCUCGGAUACUCGAGGCGCACGAGUUGCACAGGUCUGUAGCUAUAAAUCGAAAUUUCGUAGGCACGCGUAUUCUUUUUUAAGGCGAUUAAAAAAUCGAUAAAACUGAUGCGAUUUGAAUUGAUAAACAAGUCGCUAUUGAUAAAAUAAUAAAUCUAAGAUGUUCGAAAACGUUGCAAAAUAUUUGUGUUAUCGUUUUAAAAUUAUUGUUAUACUGAUUUUUUGUACACGAAUUAUUAUGUUCGCAUCACGGACCACUUUUUCCAACAUUAAUAAUGUUCAUCGGCAUCGAGGUAUUAUAUCCUCGACUGCACAGCACAUAAGUUCGCGGUCGAAGCUUCAAACGAUUUGGCGCGUUUCUAUAAUAUAAGUAAUAGAUCAUAGUUUCGAAUUGAGGACAUCCUCCUAAUGUUUAUGAGUAAUGUAACGAAAUAUUUAUGUUUUCGUGUAUGUGUAAUGAUGAUGGGUUUUGCAAGCGUUUCGGCCGUACGUACAGACGAUGGGGUUCAUUACUCAGCGGACAAUAAUGAAUAUACAGUGUGUCUCACGAAGAUAUACCCAUUGCAAUAUCUCCUGAGAUAAUAAAGAUAAUCAAAUUUUUAUAUUAAUCGCAAGGUCUACAAAUAUUUAUAUUUUAAUUCAAUUUUUAUGUUUUAUAAAAUUAAGUUUUUAUUGUAUUAUUUUCGAACAAUUUGAAAAUAGCCAUUUUGUAGAAUUUAUUUUUCUGAACAUUUUGACGGAUCAACUUUUUAUUUUAAUUUAAGUCGUGAUUUUUAAUAAUUUUUUAAAGUAUACAGAGAAAAGUAUCUAUAAUUAUAUGCAGCAGGCUGUAAUCACAUUCGCUAAUAUUCGAAUAUUAUUAUUAUGGUUUAUUGACUGCGCGCUUUUUUUUUCUGGACUUGAAAAUCAAACUUUCGACACGUCAAAAUGUUCAGAAAAAUAAACCCAAAGAGAUAAUGCGAUGUUUAUAUAUAUCUUUGUGGGACACCCUGUAUAAAUGUAUAUAUGUACGGUUAUAAUAUUAUAUACCUCGAUUUGACCUUAUUUUGUAAUAACACAAAAAAAAAAAAAAAAAAAAAAUAAUAAAAAAACCGAUUCCCUCGAAGUUUACAGUAUCUAUUCGAAUUUAAACGCGUUAAUUAUAACAUAAUAUUUGAAACAUACCUAAUUGAAUAUAUAAUAAUUCCGAGCGAUGAAACGUGUAUUACAUACAUUUUGUAUUAUUAUUACUAUUAAAUUGUGUCGUUGUAAACGUAUCUUCCUUUCGGUUUUGCCGUUUAUCACAAUAAUAGUUCUUUACGCGAAAUAUUGGGAAAUAAAAAAAAAAAAAAAAUAAUAAAAAAACCGAUUCCCUCGAAGUUUACAGUAUCUAUUUUUAUGUUUGGAUUGCGUACAACUUUUGCAUGGAUGUUUUAUAUAUAGUAAUAGCGUAAAAUCGUGAAAAUCCGAAUCGCACCACACUGCGCAGAGCACACAAAUUAUGUUUCGUUACAGGUCGACUAAUAGGAUGCGUACAUAAUAAUAAAAUAUUAAUCACGAAUUAUGUUCGUAAUUUACUCACAGUGUAUUUAAUCCGAUACAGGGCAUUAAGAUAAUUAAUUCGGUAUUACGCGUAAUCAAUGGGAAAUUAAUUCGGAGUCUUAUUAUUUAGGCAUACGCCGGUUCGGGUCUCUUAAACGUCAAUCGAUUGUAGAUUUAUUAGAUAUUAUCGGGAGAAAAAAACCCUACUAAAUGUAUACACGCGUAUUAACUCAAUAAGUUUAUCUCUAAACGAUUAUUAUAAUUACUUCAACUUGUACCCGGGCAUAAAGCAGCCCCGCGGGAUUUUAAAUAUUCCCGGAAAAUCACUAUAAACAGCUGCAAAUUCGCUCGGAAAUAUAAAAAUCAAUUUCAAAAAUGUUCGUCGAAACUCACCGCUAAUCCUAACCGAACCCACACGCCCCUCGCC